GCAAGCUUCAGCAAGACUGCCUGGGAC
RNAcentral lists this non-coding RNA (27 nucleotides) under Homo sapiens (human). The record is from RNAcentral. Lineage: Eukaryota; Metazoa; Chordata; Mammalia; Primates; Hominidae.